Molecule: long non-coding RNA, 1176 nt
Organism: Poeciliopsis prolifica (blackstripe livebearer)
Lineage: Eukaryota; Metazoa; Chordata; Actinopteri; Cyprinodontiformes; Poeciliidae
Exons: 3
Source: RefSeq, a predicted model, not a curated record
ACCCGUGCCAGCGGGCAAAGAAUUAUACAACCUACAGCCUGGAGAUUUUGUAUUUCUUAAAAAUUUCAGGAAGAAGAACUGAUGACCACAGUGAAGAUUGUGGAUUUUCUGAAAUCCACCGGGGUCCUCAACAGCCAUUGGUGAGAAGUUCACUGGAAAUCGAUUCGCCCAGAAUCCUACCAAGGGGAUUCCAACAAAGUAUCCCUGAAAAAAUAGGGAUACCACCGACGGCCCACUCAGUAGGUGGUCUACCUAGCUGAGGCAGCAUGGAGAACAUGGUCAGGAUGGGACAUUGCCGCAGAACAACACCUACAUGGAUUAAGGAUGCCGUACUUCAUAACCCAUAACUCUCCUGAUGUUGAGAUUGAGGAUGUUUUUUAUUUCCAAUAGACUCAUUUCCUAAUAAUAAUCCAGCAGAUGAAGUUUGGAGCCAGUCUGCAGUGACUCUUCCUUCUGCUCUUACUGCUGCAGGUUCCUUUGUUGUCAUAUUUUCAGAUAUUCUGGGAUUUAUCUGCAGAAGACGUCCACAACGCGCCUGUCUAAGAGCUGAAACAUCCGGAUCGUCUGCACAAGGAGAAACUGCCACUGUAACAUCAAGGACAUUGAGCCGGAGACGAUUCAAACCACAACCAGGAGGCCGAAGUUUGCACAGGAAUCGAGGAGGAAGAUUUGAUGGCAACCAGGGAAGCUUCUCCAGGGGGUCAAGGCUUUCCUUUCAGAGGUGGAUUUACAGGACAUCAUGGAGGGUAUUCCUCCUGACUACACCAGGUUCUGUUGCAAUGCAAAUUUGACUGACUGUUAAUUCUGAUGUCGUCCAUUGUUUGUCUGUUUCAUGUUGGAGUGAAUGAUUGUUUACGUGUAAUGUUUGUCUCAGUGUUCUGUGUUUUCAUGCGCAUGCGAAGAAGAUAAAAACACAAUCUUAUUUGCAGGAUUUCCCAAACAUCGGAAUGGGACCACCGAUGAAACCUGGAAUUAUUUCAACAACAUGUAAUGACAACAUGAUUAACUUCUGUAUUUCUCUUACAGAUCAAUUAAAGACUGCAGGCCCAAGGAGGACGAUCCGUGCCAGCGGGCAAACAAUUAUAUAACCUACAGCCUGGAGAUUUUGUGUUUCUUAAAAAUUUCAGGAAGAAGAACUGAUGACCACAGUGAAGGUUGUGGAUUUUCUUAAAUCCA